UGGGGAAUAUUGGGCAAUGGACGCAAGUCUGACCCAGCAACGCCGCGUGAAGGAAGAAGGCUUUCGGGUUGUAAACUUCUUUUAAGAGGGAAGAGCAGAAGACGGUACCUCUUGAAUAAGCCACGGCUAACUACGUGCCAGCAGCCGCGGUAAUACGUAGGUGGCAAGCGUUGUCCGGAUUUUACUGGGUGUAAAGGGCGUGCAGCCGGGCCGGCAAGUCAGAUGUGAAAUCCCCAGGCUCAACCUGGGAACUGCAUUUGAAACUGUUGGUCUUGAGUAUCGGAGAGGUAAUCGGAAUUCCUUGUGUAGCGGUAGAAAUGCG
Molecule: ribosomal RNA, 322 nt
Filed under: uncultured Oscillibacter sp.
Lineage: Bacteria; Bacillati; Bacillota; Clostridia; Eubacteriales; Oscillospiraceae
Description: bacterial SSU rRNA
Rfam family: Bacterial small subunit ribosomal RNA
Source: RNAcentral